Molecule: long non-coding RNA, 343 nt
Organism: Xenopus laevis (African clawed frog)
Lineage: Eukaryota; Metazoa; Chordata; Amphibia; Anura; Pipidae
Exons: 3
Source: RefSeq, a predicted model, not a curated record
CAGACUGGAGGGAGAAUGGAAAUAUUGUCUAUCCCGGUAGAAAAUUCAUGCAGCAUGGUUAUCUGAAAAGAGUGGAUCAAAGACAAUCAACCAUUGUCUUGUCAAGAUACAAAGGCCUCUGCGAUCACCAAAAGAUCUUUAUAUAGGAACCGAUCCAAGAGCCCAGCACCCUGACGAGCUCCCUACAGGGCAAAACCAACUUUGCAUUCAGGAAGAAUAAGAACCAGACAUGUAUAAAUUAAGAUCCAUAAAUAUCUGCUGUUCCAUGUAGGCAAACACAUAACCCCAGUGAUACGCCUAAUGCCAUGUAAUAAACCUUAAGUAAUAAACAUUAUUAACUGAG